AGAGAAGAAAAGAAGAGAGGGGAGAAAGAGAAGAAGAGAGAGGGGGAGAAAGAGAAGAAAAGAGAGGAGAGGAGAAAGAGAAGAAAAGAGAGGAGCGGAGAAAGAAGAAAUUAAGGAGAGGAAAAUAACAGAUCAGUGCGCAGGUGGAAUACAUCUUCAGGUGUCAGCAGAGGGCCAGGAGGGAGAGACAAUACACUUGGUCAGGUAUUAGCAGAGGGCCAGGAGGGAGAGACAAUACACUGGGUCAGGUAUUAGCAGAGGGCCAGGAGGGAGAGACAAUACACUGGGUCAGGUAUUAGCAGAGGGCCAGGAGGGAGAGACAAUACACUGGGUCAGGUAUUAGCAGAGGGACAGGAGGGAGAGACAAUACACUGGUUCAGGUAUUAGCAGAGGGCCAGGAGGGAG
Molecule: long non-coding RNA, 405 nt
Organism: Oncorhynchus tshawytscha (Chinook salmon)
Lineage: Eukaryota; Metazoa; Chordata; Actinopteri; Salmoniformes; Salmonidae
Source: Ensembl